AUGAACGCUGGCGGCGUGCCUAAUACAUGCAAGUCGAGCGAACAGACGAGGAGCUUGCUCCUCUGACGUUAGCGGCGGACGGGUGAGUAACACGUGGAUAACCUACCUAUAAGACUGGGAUAACUUCGGGAAACCGGAGCUAAUACCGGAUAAUAUAUUGAACCGCAUGGUUCAAUAGUGAAAGACGGUUUUGCUGUCACUUAUAGAUGGAUCCGCGCCGCAUUAGCUAGUUGGUAAGGUAACGGCUUACCAAGGCAACGAUGCGUAGCCGACCUGAGAGGGUGAUCGGCCACACGGGAACUGAGACACGGUCCAGACUCCUACGGGAGGCAGCAGUAGGGAAUCUUCCGCAAUGGGCGAAAGCCUGACGGAGCAACGCCGCGUGAGUGAUGAAGGUCUUCGGAUCGUAAAACUCUGUUAUUAGGGAAGAACAAAUGUGUAAGUAACUAUGCACGUCUUGACGGUACCUAAUCAGAAAGCCACGGCUAACUACGUG
RNAcentral lists this ribosomal RNA (496 nucleotides) under uncultured bacterium. RNAcentral describes it as "partial 16S ribosomal RNA". It matches the Rfam family "Bacterial small subunit ribosomal RNA", at positions 29 to 507 of the family's 1533-position model. The record is from RNAcentral.